GGGUUGUGAGGUUAAGCGACUAAGCGUACACGGUGGAUGCCCUGGCAGUCAGAGGCGAUGAAGGGCGUGCUAAUCUGCGAUAAGCGCCGGUAAGGUGAUAUGAACCGUUAUAACCGGCGAUACCCGAAUGGGGAAACCCAGUGUGAUUCGUCACACUAUCAUUAACUGAAUCCAUAGGUUAAUGAGGCGAACCGGGGGAACUGAAACAUCUAAGUACCCCGAGGAAAAGAAAUCAACCGAGAUUCCCCCAGUAGCGGCGAGCGAACGGGGAGGAGCCCAGAGCCUGAAUCAGCAUGUGUGUUAGUGGAAGCGUCUGGAAAGGCGCGCGAUACAGGGUGACAGCCCCGUACACAAAAGCGUAUGUGCUGUGAGCUCGAUGAGUAGGGCGGGACACGUGGUAUCCUGUCUGAAUAUGGGGGGACCAUCCUCCAAGGCUAAAUACUCCUGACUGACCGAUAGUGAACCAGUACCGUGAGGGAAAGGCGAAAAGAACCCCGGCGAGGGGAGUGAAAAAGAACCUGAAACCGUGUACGUACAAGCAGUGGGAGCACCCUUUGGGGUGUGACUGCGUACCUUUUGUAUAAUGGGUCAGCGACUUAUAUUCUGUAGCAAGGUUAACCGAAUAGGGGAGCCGGAGGGAAACCGAGUCUUAAUUGGGCGUUAAGUUGCAGGGUAUAGACCCGAAACCCGGUGAUCUAGCCAUGGGCAGGUUGAAGGUUGGGUAACACUAACUGGAGGACCGAACCGACUAAUGUUGAA
RNAcentral lists this ribosomal RNA (759 nucleotides) under Salmonella enterica subsp. enterica serovar Muenchen. RNAcentral's name for it is "partial 23S ribosomal RNA". It matches the Rfam family "Bacterial large subunit ribosomal RNA", at positions 1 to 793 of the family's 2925-position model. The record is from RNAcentral. Lineage: Bacteria; Pseudomonadati; Pseudomonadota; Gammaproteobacteria; Enterobacterales; Enterobacteriaceae.